Molecule: long non-coding RNA, 513 nt
Organism: Trifolium pratense (red clover)
Lineage: Eukaryota; Viridiplantae; Streptophyta; Magnoliopsida; Fabales; Fabaceae
Exons: 3
Source: RefSeq, a predicted model, not a curated record
GAGAAUUACAGUCGCGGAAAAAGAUUCGGCGAUAAGUUUUGGAAUUAUUUUGAGACGGACUUCCGUUCCGUAAGUUUUCUGUUUUUACGAGUUUUGCUCGUCGCGGCGCGCGAGAGCUGUGGGGCGUGAGAGAAAAUAUCUAGAUAUUUGUUAAAGUAAAAUGGAUGGCUAGGAUUUGAUCUAGAGAAAGUGCUUUUGAUCCAAUGGCCAAGAGUGACCAAGACCAAUGUAUAGUAAGGAGGUUUAGCUUCUUUGGGGGACUUAGAAAAAUCUGAAUUUUUCCAUUUCUCUUCCUCUCCAAACCGUGAAGCCAUCCCCCAUUUUCAUACCUUCACCAAUUUUUCAUUUCAUCACCAAAUCAUCUCAUUCCAAGCUAGGGAAAUCCAUAGAACUUGCAAGGAAAUCACUUCUCUUAAGGGCGCACGAAUUGUUGCAUAACUCGGAAUCGUUUGUAAUUGGAAGUUUCGCCGAGACGAUGGAGCGCCAUCUGAGACCGUAGGCCGUGUGGACGGC